UCCACAAGGCAGUAGCCAACAAAUGAGGCUUCCUGCCUCAUUACCACCACCAAAACAGGAACCUAUUCCCGGUUCCUCGGCCUUAGCCAUUACCAAUAGAUUUACUCCAUUAGGAUCAACUCUAGGAAGUAUCCGACCAAAUUACCAAACAGCGUUAGUAAACCAGUAUGAUCCUUUCUCCUCUACUUACAGGCAAUCGCCAUCUCCCUCAGUAAGUUAUACUAAAACAUCUCCCUACAUUAUUAAACCCUCCAAAGAGUAUCUCUUCAGUAUCCCAUUUAAUUUCAAACAUCUGAAAACACCUGAGGUCAUAACCAAAAAGAUGUUUCCAGUCAAUUCCCAUUUUCAGCCAAGUGAGUUUCACAAAACCCUCAAGUACUAUACCACUAUUCUCAAUGAGACUUCUUCUAUCACCAUAAAACCUAUCCUUGAUAAAACCUCUGGCAAUCAAAACAGAAUCCUGUAUCAUUCCCUUACCAUUAAUAAAUUCUUAUUAGAAUCUGAAUGGCAAGUACCUCUUUUUCAACCCAAACCUUUUAAAAGCAGUAGCUUUCCCAGUCACUCAAACCAUUAUACCUACUUUGAUUACAUUCAAGCUUGGACUAACAUCUUCCUACACCAAUCCGAAGAUUUUAGUCAUUCAUGGUUUAUAACCUUUGAUCGUAGUUUCAGAUUGAAUUUUCCUGCAUGGUUUCCCAGAUGGUGGUCAGAACAUGGCCUUAUCUCUGACCUCAUGCCAGACGAAUUCAAGCAAGUCUUAUCAGGCACUUUCCAGAAGAAGUUCGAUAGAACGCGUUUUGAUGAAGGAAUCCCUCUAUUCGCCCUGUUCAUGGCAAAAUACAAGGUCCCCUGGAUUCUCCGCUGGAAUUACGAGAUUGAAUCCAAUCAAGUCUUCCGACAGAGAAUGAUCAAAUGGUGGGAUAAGUUCAACUACCAGAAGAUCAUUGAAGUUGUGCUCAAGGACUUCCUCAUGAGCUCUGGUCCAGUACCUGCAGUAGCAGUUCCUCCAGCUACAGCUUUACCAGAACCAACCAAGGAAGAAAUCGAUUCAUUAUCGGACAUUAGUCCUUCUUCCUCUCUCAAGGGCCAAACUAAGUCAUCCAAAUCUUCGAGCAGUUCGAAGAAAAAGAAAUCAUCAAAGCUCAAGGCUUUAGCCAAAAUUCUCAUGAAGGAACUGCAAGAAGAAAAUGAAGAUGGUUCGGACUCCGACAACUCUUCGGAUGCUUCAUCACAGUGCGCAGUAGCCACACAAGGAAAUAUCUUCCCACCUGAUUCUCAAGAUCCAUACGAAUUUUAAACUUGUAAUAGCAUGUAUAGGAAUUUCUAAAUUCGUAUGAAUGUAGUCUAAGUAAGAUACAUUGUAUCUAGACUCAGUAGAGUACUUUGUAAUAGCUGCAUAUGAAGACAAAGCCAGCCACAAGUGAAAACAGCAGUAGCAGACAAGGCACUAUUCAUGAAUAGUAAAAUCACUUUUACUAUUCAUCCAUCAUUCCAUCCACAGUAUUCACCCUCGUGAAAGUCACAGUCUCCGACAGCAUCUUCUGCUUUCGGCCUCUUACAGCAGUAGCACAGGCAGAAGCGGGAUUCUCGCUUCCAUCCUUCAAUCAUUCCGGAUCUCCUCCCUCUCCUAUAAAUAGAAAUCUUCAGCUUCAUGAAGGGGGGCUUCGGUCGAAGAAAAGAAAAGAAAAACUCUGCGAAUUCAUACAGAGUCUACAGCUUCUCAGCAAAAUAUUGUAUAUUUUAAUUUUAAGUAAUCAAGGAUGCCUGUGAGCUCCAGGAUCAGUCUUUAAUUUUCCAAAUCGUCAAUAGACGAAACUUCUGUAAGUCUUAUUUGAUUUUCAAUAAAUAUAUUUUCUUUCGAAAAACAGCAUCAUUAAUUUAAAUCAUCAUGAACACUAAAUCUAUUUUAAAUUUAGUUUUGUUUAUAUAUGCUCUUGUUAUUAAUCCUAAAAAUUUUACAUUGAUAUUAAUCAAAUUCUUUGAAUUUCCAAAUACAUAUAUCGGAUAUUUCCGACUUCAUAUGUUACCUUACUUCCGCACCCAUUACUUCCGCACCCAUUUGGUAUCAGAGCCAAGUGUGGUUGGUUAUACCAUUAGUAUCUGAAUACUCUGUUUAUACCUUUAAAAAUCUUCAGUCUUUUAUAGUUAAUCUUUGCAGUUUAACCUUUUAGUGUCUCCUGAUUUCCAUAAGGUCUGAGCAGUAAGGCGUCACCCAAACAGUAAGUCCCGGAGGAUAGGGCCUGAGCGGCGCGCAUGACCCAGAGAGCUUGGUGUUUAGAAGCACUAGUAAGAUUUUCUGUGAAGGUUUCUGUAUUUUGAUUGUUUGAAUUUUUAAGUAUGAGUAGAUUAUUUAGAUCUAAUUCUAUGGCCAGCACUAGCUCUAGAUCAAAUCUAGGAACUAUACCUGAUAUUGUUAAUGAAGAACAAAAAUUUGAAUUUCAAACAGACAGUAGUCUAGAUUUUGCUGAAUGGAAUAUUCCAAAAAUAUCUUCAAAAAAUAUUUAUAAAAAGAAAUGGGCAUUCGCCUCUUUUAAAACUGAACACCAUGUUAAAACGGUUGAACAAGCUUAUGCUCUUAGUAAAGAUCAUGAGACUUGCCAAUUGUUUACCCCAGAACAAAUUAAUUCCCAUAGGAAAGAUGGUCAUAAUUAUAUUCAUAUAGGUUUAGUGCAAAUUGCAGCCAAACCAUUAACACGUAGAGGUCUUAAUACCUCUAUCCUAUUAUGUCUCCGAGAUGCUAGAUUCACUGACUUCAAUGAUAGUAUACUUGGUAUGGUUGAAUCCAGCCUCUGUAAUGGACCUAUCCACUUUGACUGCUUUCCAGAUCUUACCAUAAGUCUGUCCGACCCACACAUGCUAAAAGCACUUACACUAAAUAUCAAAACUUCAGGAUACAAAGUCCUAGAAGGAACACAGCCUUUAGCCUUAAUUUAUAGGAUCUAUUAUAAGGUUACUGGCACAAAUAUGAACUUUCAGGCUUUAACCAAAAGUCCGAAGGAUCAUACUCUCUUGAUCCAGACAGAUCAAGAGAAUGCCAAUAUUAAAAUACCUCGAACCAUUAGGUGGUCAGAAAUCAAUCUCCCCUCAGAUUGGUGUCUGAUAAACGAGAGUCGGCCAGUAGCCAUCCAAAAUAGUCUAGUUAAUUUAGACAACGUAGAACAAUACUUUGACGGUACGGUUAAAAUUAAUUUUGAUCGUCCUGCAAGGCAAUCCUGUGAUUCUAAUCGAUCACUUAAAUCCUUUGCUUCCAAUAGGAAUUCUUUUUCUGGAUCUAUGCCAACCGAUAGGCAAGGUCGAGACCAAGAAUUGAUCAAUUCCCUAGCCAAUAGGAAAUUAAAAUCAGUAGAUACAGGCUCAUCAGUCACUCAACAAGAAUUAAUAAAUGACCUUUUACAUUUCAAACUUCAAUCACUUGAGACAAACGCUCAAGUAGUCCAGCCUACCUAUCAUACCCCAUCCAUUCCUCCUAAGGAAGAACAAACAUCCCCAACUGCUUCAGAUUUUGAUGCAGAACCAGUACACCACCAACUAUUAGUUUUAACCAGAAAAGAACCUUUUAAGUAUGACCGUAAGAAACUCUGUAGAGACAUAGAAGCCUUAGAAAAUGUCCCUCGACGAAACAUCUUCAGAAGUAAAUAUACUACUGAAGAGAAAUUAGAAAUCCAUAAGGCAUGGAAAGACUUCAUGCAAGCCAACAGACUUGAAAUAUUUUUCUUCGACUUCGUAGAAAAACAUUAUGAGUCUGAAAACCAAGUAAAGGUAAUAACCAAAGAAAAUUGGGUUAGAGAAGACAAGACAAUUGUCUCCUCCAGUCACCCUCCACAAGAAACUAUACUUAUUAGUACUGCGAAUACGCAAGUCCCAGCCUCGCCGUUCAAACUUCCGAAGGAAGAUGCAGGUGUCAAACCUGUUAUUGAACAAAACAAUUUUACUAACCAAAGCCUACAUAUCAUAGGAAAACAGUUGGAUAAAAUCGAAACUAAGGUUGACAAUUUGUCAAAUAAACCACUUAGUAAAGAAAUACCUUUAACUAGUUUUAGAGAGUCACCCUCUUUAAAAACUUCAACAUCUAUUAAGAUAGAACAAAUGCUUCAUAAGCUAGAAAAGGACAAAUCAGUUCGUGUGAUUAAUAACCCACAUGAUUCUGAAACACCUUCCUCAGUUCCAGAUUCCGAUGAUGAAAGUAUUAAUUCCAUCAUUCAUAUGGAGCAAGCCUUUCAGAGUCUUGAACUAAAACGUCUUAACACUAAAAGGACUAAUCCUACAUCCUUAACCAAAAACUGGUAUCCCAGACCAACUCCUCCUGAUCUUCAAUUUGAAGAAAGGAAUUUCCAAUCCCAAUUCACUGUUUCAUCUGAUAAACUCUAUGAAUGGAAUAUAGAUGGUCUAUCAGAACAAGAGUUACUAAACAAACUCCAGCACAUCUCCAUGGUAGCAAAUAGCUAUAUCACUAACCAUGACCUUAGUCAAACCCAAAUUGUCGACAUCCUUGUCUCUGGAUUCACAGGAAUGCUUCAUUCCUGGUGGGAAAAACAUCUCACUGAAGACUCCAGAAAUCUAAUAAGAAAUGCUGUAAAGCAAGAUGAAGAAGGAAUACCUAUCUUCGAUGAACAUUUAGGACGUGGUGUCCCAGAUGCAGUCAAUACCUUACUUUAUACAAUCAUACAACAUUUCAUAGGAAUCCCUUCCAACAUCACAUCUAGAAUCCAUGACCAACUAAGCAACUUAAGGUGUCCAACCCUAAGUGAUUUUAGAUGGUAUAAAGAUGUAUUUAUGUCAAGAGUUAUGCUAAGAGAUGAUAGUAAUCAACCAUUUUGGAAAGAAAAAUUUAUAAAUGGAUUACCAAACCUUUUUGCACACAAAAUAAGGAAUACCUUAAUUAACGAAGAUGGUAUUAUACCAUAUAAUGAUCUUACUUAUGGACAUAUCAUAAGUAUUAUCCAAAAAGAAGGCCUAAAAAUGUGCAUAGAUAUGAAGAUAUCUAGACAAGCACAAUCUGAAAAGGCUAUCGCCAAAUACGAAUUAGGAACCUUCUGUGAGCAAUAUGGUUUACCACCCAUAGCUCCUUCCAAUCUCAAAAAGAGAUCAACAACCUUCAAUAGAUCUAAGAUCUCUAAACCACGGACCAACUACUCCAAGUAUCAUAAAGGCAAGUAUGCCAAACCAAACCCAUUUUAUGAAAACCCCAAACAGAAAAGAUGGGAAGGAAAGAGAAAAUCCUCUGGAAAAUUCCAUUCUAAAGACAAUAGUCAUAAGGGAAAAUGCUACAAAUGUGGCAAAGAAGGCCACUAUGCCAAUAAAUGUAAGGUUAAGAAAACCAUAAGUCAGUUGAAGAUUUCUGAGGAAGAAAAGCUUCAACUUAUCCAAGCCCUAGGACUCCAAAAUACCGACAGUAGUCAUUCAUCUGAAGAUGAUCUAGGUUCCACCUCUUCAUCCUCAUAUCAAUCUGCCUCUAGUAAACACUCUACCCCAAACAUCAAGAUUGGAUGUCCUGAUGCUUGUUGUAAAACCAUUUCAGUACUAACUAAACAAGAGAAACAAGAAGAGUUACUCUUAGAACUAAUAAGCAAUGUUGAGGACACUGAACUCAAGAGGUUUUACCUCAAAAAGCUUAAAAACUUAGUUUCUCAAGAAGAAGUAGGCACUAGCCAAUCUCAAAUUCAAAAACCACAAAUCUCUCUUAGUUCUACUCUAGCAAAGUUUAGUAAGCCUAAGAAAGAAAUUACGGUCAGUGACCUCCAAAAAGAAAUCAAUCAGAUAAAAGAAGAAAUUAAACUUCUAAAAUCUGAUAAUCACGAGAUUCGUACACAACUCACUAGAGCCAAUCCUCCUCCAACAGAAGAACUAUCCAGUUCCUCUUCCAGUAGUCACCAUGAGUCUGAAGAUGAUACCCAUUCAGAACAAUUAGUUCUGAAUCUUCUUCACAAAAUUAGAAUCCAAAAAUGGUAUUCUAAAGUAACAAUAAUAAUUGAAGACUUUCGUUUCGAAACAAUAGCAUUGAUUGAUUCAGGAGCAGACUUGAAUUGUAUUCAAGAAGGUCUGAUUCCCACUAGGUAUUUCCACAGGUCAAAGGAAAUCCUUAGUGCCGCUAAUGAAUCUCCAAUGGAAAUCAAGUAUGAACUUCCUAAGGCGCAUGUUUGCCAAAAUGAAGUUUGUUUCAAAACACCUUUUGUUCUAAUUAAGAACUUAUCUGACCCUGUCAUACUAGGACUACCCUUUAUAGCACUCCUUUAUCCUUUUAAGACACAUCAUAAUAGGAUUACCUCAAAGGUCUUAGGACAGAAAGUCACAUUUGAGUUCUGCCUGGAAACAGAUCUAAAAAAACUUAGACAUCUCCAAAAGGAUAGCACUUCGCGAUCCUUAAACAUAAUUUCUAAUAAGACUAGACAUCUUCAAUUCUUGAAAGAUGAUAUUCAUCACAAAAAAAGAACUGAAGAACAACUUAAACAAGAGAUUAUAUCUCAGAAAAUCUUUAAAUUUGAAGAACAACUUGUUAAAGAAGUAUGUUCUGAUAUUCCCAAUGCCUUUUGGCACCGCAAACAACAUAUCGUUAAAUUACCUUAUAUCAAGGAAUUUAAUGAGUCAAAAAUCCCUACUAAGGCCAGACCCAUUCAAAUGAGUCAAGAAGUAAUGGAUUUCUGUAAGGCAGAAAUACAAGAUCUUCUUAAUAAAGGAAUUAUCCGUAAUAGCAAGUCACCUUGGUCGUGUCCUGCAUUUUAUGUUCAGAAGAGUGCAGAACUUGAAAGGGGUUCUCCCCGAUUAGUUAUUAACUACAAACCUUUAAAUGAAGUUUUGGAAUGGAUUAGAUAUCCAAUUCCCAACAAAAGAGAUUUAAUAAAAAGGCUUAGUAAAACAACUAUUUUCUCAAAGUUUGAUAUGAAAUCAGGUUUUUGGCAAAUCCAAAUUCAUGAAUCUGACAAAUAUAAAACUGCUUUUGUAACGCCUUUCGGCCAUUAUGAAUGGAAUGUUAUGCCUUUUGGUUUGAAAAAUGCACCAUCUGAAUUCCAGAAUAUUAUGAAUGAGAUUUUUAAUCAGUAUAGUCAUUUUACAAUUGUUUAUAUUGAUGAUGUUCUUGUUUUCUCUAAAUCUAUAGAUGAACAUUGGAAACAUUUACACUUGUUUGCUAAGAUCAUUCGAUCAAAUGGAUUGGUUGUGUCAGCCACUAAGAUUAGGUUGUUUCAACUUAAGAUUAGAUUUUUAGGUUAUAAUAUUCAUAGGUCUACCAUCCAACCUAUUGACCGUGUCAUCCAAUUUGCAGAUAAAUUUCCAGACCAGAUUACUGAAAAAACCCAACUUCAAAGAUUCUUAGGUUCUUUGAAUUAUGUUUCAGAAUUUUAUCCUCAUUUGCGUCAACAAUGUAAACCCUUGUUUGAUCGCCUUAAGGAGAAUCCUCCUGCCUGGUCUACCAUUCAUACUUCUAUUGUUAAACAGAUCAAAAAUCAUGUUAAGACUUUGCCCUGUCUUGGCAUUCCAACUCCCAACUCUUUUAAGAUUGUUGAAACUGACGCCUCUGACGUUGGUUAUGGAGGUAUCCUCAAACAGCAAACUUCCUCCGGAUCACCUGAACAAAUUGUUCGUUUCCAUUCAGGUGUAUGGAAUCCUGCUCAAACUAAUUAUAGUACUAUUAAAAAAGAAAUACUAUCUAUAGUUUUAUGCAUUAGUAAAUUUCAAGAUGAUUUAUUAAAUCAAAAAUUUCUCGUUAGAGUUGAUUGCAAAUCUGCAAAACAUGUUUUACAAAAAGAUGUUCAAAAUAUUGCAUCAAAACAAAUUUUUGCACGAUGGCAAGCCAUAUUAUCAAUCUUUGAUUUUGAAAUCGAAUACAUUAAAGGCAGCCAUAACUGCAUUCCAGAUUUCCUAACCCGAGAAUUUUUGCAGGGGAAGAAUGUCUAAUAAGAUCACAGCUUCUCCACAAGGCAGUAGCCAACAAAUGAGGCUUCCUGCCUCAUUACCACCACCAAAACAGGAACCUAUUCCCGGUUCCUCGGCCUUAGCCAUUACCAAUAGAUUUACUCCAUUAGGAUCAACUCUAGGAAGUAUCCGACCAAAUUACCAAACAGCGUUAGUAAACCAGUAUGAUCCUUUCUCCUCUACUUACAGGCAAUCGCCAUCUCCC
RNAcentral lists this long non-coding RNA (8113 nucleotides) under Malus domestica (apple). Its description in RNAcentral is "long non-coding RNA (MDOM_LNC009432)". The record is from RNAcentral. Lineage: Eukaryota; Viridiplantae; Streptophyta; Magnoliopsida; Rosales; Rosaceae.